Molecule: long non-coding RNA, 6794 nt
Organism: Lagopus leucura (white-tailed ptarmigan)
Lineage: Eukaryota; Metazoa; Chordata; Aves; Galliformes; Phasianidae
Exons: 5
Source: RefSeq, a predicted model, not a curated record
GCCCUUUCUGAAAAUGGCCGCCAGCUUCACCCCGCGGCCGCCUUGCCCGAGUGACGGCCGGGUCGCGGUCACGUGGCGGGCGGUGGGUCGUGAGGGCGGUGAGGUGCUGGGUUUGUCCGCUCGUCCUGGUCGCGUCGUGCGGUCGGCUCCUAUUGGGUCCAGGGCCUCUCAGGGUCGGUGCCGCUUAUGUACGGGACGGCGCCGGAGGGCCGGGAUCGGCGGCAGCGGGAAGGCACUGAGUUCUCUGAGAUGUGCUAUGGAAAUGAUGAGAGCUACUUCUGAGGCUGUGAGCGGUGGCUGAUGAGAGAAGCUAAAGAGAGGAACCUCAAAAUUGAACAGAUUGAUACGGAAUGAAAGGGCAUUUCAUAGAAAAUGGAUGAAGAAGAGACCUUCAUCCUGUGACAACUUUGCUUCCUGACCUCUCGAGGUAGCUGCAGGCAUGAAGCACUAACAGGAACACGGGAUCCUUAGACUUUUUUUUUUUUUUUUUUAAUCUGAAGAUUUUAUUUUGAACUUUGUAAGUCCGUGUAUGCUAUGGAGGGCAUUUUAAAGGAGGCUGCAGUUGAACCGUACAAAUUCGUCUUCUUAAUGGCUGGAAAACAGCUUAAUUUGUAAGUCAGAGAUCUGGAAUUCCUUCAGACUCUCAAGUGAAGUUCCAGUGGAUAUGAUGUCCUUUAAUUAUUGUUGUACAGCUCCAAGCUUUCACUGCAUGGUCUGAUUUACUUUUUCCAUAAAGUAAGAGCUCUGUAUUUUAACUGUGCAAAAGUCAAUAACCUCAUUUAGAACAUCAGUUGGAAAGAGACAGUAUUUCACAUCAGUUAACACUGUGCUGUCACUGUUUCCUUCCCUGCACACCCUUCUUUGGAAGCUCACUUCUCUUUGAGUUAUGUUAUGCUGAAGUGGAAUCUUAAUAUAAGUUCUACUAUAUGCAUUAUUCAUGUCCUUGUUGCUGCUUUGAGGCUAAGAAGGAAAUGCAUUUCUUCUCAAAAGAAAGUAAGGGUUAAUCUGUGUGUGAAGAAAACUGCUGAUUCUUUUUUUCGUCUCCAUGCACAACUUUGCAGGAAUUGGGUCCCUUCUGCUUAAAAUCAGCCAGUCAGCUGCUAUUAAAAAAGUUCUUUUAGUUUUUGUAUGCUAUACAAGGUCAGUUGUGUCAUUUGUCCGUGGCAGCAUCUGCAGCUAUUUCAUUCAGUGAUUAGUUUUAGCAGAAUAAUACAGAAAAUGGCGUAUAGCAGUUAAAUGUGACAUGACAUUAGGAGGGAAAAGCCCUCUGUAACUUAAGUGUCUUUCAUGAGGCUGGCAUAGAUAACAUUCUGCCUGCUCCUGAAAAAUGGGAGUGCUCUCCUCUGAAACACUUUAUCCUUAUUUAUAUGUAAGGCUGUGUGAUACACUUGUAGUCUGUUAAACUGAUCUAUGGUCAAAGUUUAUAGCAGGACAGGUAAGCAGGAAUUGUAUAAAGAAACUUCCUUAGGCAUUGAGCUAAUAAACUUUGAUCACUUGCAAGAGGCUUUUUGAGAAAUAGCAAUUAUAAUAUGGUGGUGCAUAACUAAUUUUUCUGUGGUGGUUUAUUCCUGAUUUGCCUACAGUAGGCAGGAGUUGCACCUCAGCGAGUUUAUAGUGCUUUAGGAAACAUGCAUUGCAUACUUUAAUUACAUAGACACGUUUUACAUACGGACUUGUAUUACUCACUUCCACCACUUUGUUUUCAGAGAAACUGGUGAGAUCCAGAAGCUCACUGGGGCUUUGAUUACUUUUCUGUUACAAUAAUGUCUGGAUUCUCAGUUCCCAUUUAGUUGUGAUGGCAGUGCAGUGUUUGGGAAGCAUGCAGCCAGCUGACUUGUUCUUCUCAUCCUGGGUUUUGUCGCACGGCGGUCAUGUUUUGCAGAGUUAUACUACAUCUGAUUAUUGACUUCUGGAUAGAAAUGUGUACGAUGUGCUCGUUACCUUUGUAUUAUCAGCAGUCUUCAUUAGGGAGGAGGUCUUGUGAAGGAAAUGAGCUUUGGUUGGGUGUUGGUCACUGUCAGUGAGUCGCUCUGCAGCUCUUGCAGCCCACCCAGUGUGCCUUUUGCAGCUGAGCUUGUCAAGGUGUACAAAAAGAGCUGAGUUGGGUACUAAGCUGUAAAUGCAGCUGCAUGUUUCAACUGGGACCUUGUGCUGUAUCUUGCUAUUGACAAUAAGUAUUUAAAGCUUGACCUAAGGCAGUACAAGACUGUGCUGCUUCUCUUUUAGCACCUUAAGGUUACUGUUACAGGUCACCAAGGGCAAUAUUAGAAUGAAGCUUUGCGUUAGCAAGCUGUGGAGGUGGCGUGAUGUACGUAAAGCUAGGUUUACUUAUGCUGCUGUGUUCUAAAGAAAUAAUCUUUUACUCAUGCGAAUGCUGCAUUAUGUUACAGAUUGCUCUGUAAUGCAACCUUUUCUGUUCUACUGGUAUUAUCUCAAUGCAAGUGUGCUUUUCACUUUCAGUUUGGAGGAGAGGAAUUACUGCAGCUGUUUGUACUUCUAGGCCUUGAUUUUUCUUUUUGUGAUAAGUGCUCUUCUUAAUAUAUUGGGUAGGCCUCUCUAUCCUGGGACAAAACCAGUGCCAAACGCCUGAGUAACUCAGCAGGAACUGCGGGCUGUGGAGAUGGCAGAACCUUCAGCAAUGCAGCAGUGCAGGAUGUUGAGCUCGGAUCCUAAAGCAAACCUGCGUGAACGGAAACGUGAGCUCAUAAGUGUUGUGCACUACUGAUAGCUUUUAAAGCUGCGUGCGUAAGGACUGCCUAAGGUACUGCACAGCACAUCCAUCUGCUGUGUCAGGACAAGAGAGAAACUGCAGCUCACUCCUCUGUCAGCCUGAACUCAGAAAUGCUGAGGUGUCAGGACAGCUGUCCUUAACUUCUGUGAGAAAAAUGUUGUGUAAGUUGUAUGGCAUUUUUGAGUUACGUUUUCACCUUGGCCUAUGCAGCUGAGUUCAGGUAUCAUUCAGAUUCUGAAGAUCUAUUCAAAAGGGGGAUGUUCUUGAGAACUAGCACGAAAAACACAGGAGGAAAAGAACAUCAUAAAGUUAAUCUAGCUGUAUGUUUCUUAGGGUCUCUCUCAGGUUGUGUGUCUCCAGUUACAAAUAAUAGGUAUGAGGGUUUUGUUGUCUGGGGUAUCUAUCCAGCCUAAAAAACAGACUAGCAAACAGACUUUCUUAUAACUUUUUCUAACAGCUGCGUUGGUUAGGAGGUACAGCUGGAGGCUGUAACCGUCAGUUGCUCUUUUCAUUUAAUGUUCAGUUUUUUGUGGUGGUACAGGCAGAGAAUGUAUUGGUUUUUCUUUAUUAAAGUUCUCAACACUGGGAAUUGGUUCAGGAAGUGGAUUUGCUGUCUUUUCCUUUCCUGUGGGUUUGUUCUGUCUGUUUUGUGGGGGGAAGGAUGGUUGGGUGAGGGGGAAGGUUGCUUGUUGGAUUGUUUUCCCAUGUUUUAUCUGGGAACAUUGUUUUUGCAUUGGAAGAUAUUUUUAUUUUUAGCCAGGAAGCUGUUUCUCCACUGUGUGGUGGAGAAAACGAGGUGUAGAUGGUUGUACUAACUUGGUGUAAUGCUAUGCAUAUGAACAACAAACCGAUUUUCCCAGAAUGACUUUGUGUAACUCAGCAGCUGAUUGCUAUGAAGGAUUCCCCUUUGGUCAGUGUGUGCCAGUGAGGGCACAAGAGCCUCAGGGUGGGUGCUGCGCCUGUUUGGGUGAGAGGUAGGAAGUAUGCAUCCCUGUAUUGUCAGAGAGCUUUACUGAGUCUUUUUUCUCUAGCUGUGUUAUUUUUUGUAAAGCAUGAAAGCAGUUCUGUGGAAAGUGUGAUAAAUAAGCCUUCUUUUUCUUUAAGGUAAUUCAAUAGGAAGCAGAAAGAUCUAAGAGCAAGCAAAUUUGACCACUAGGCAUGUGCAGAAAUAAGCUACUGCCUGCUAUUGUUAUUGCUAUUAGAGUACUUUGAUCUGAAGUACCUGCUGAGGUUAGUGUGCUUUCCAUGUUCUUUUUUGCUCAUUUUAUUUUAUCCUUAAGUAGACAUUUGAUAUCUUUCAGUUUGAGAAAAUAGAAUGAAGUACCUCCGUAUUCUUAUCCCACUUGAGAUUGUUGUCUAAGUCAGCAUUUCUUUGUGUGUGGGAAAAGGGAAAUACUUUGUCAUGCUGGCUUCUGAAAACGUGGCUUGGCAAUUACUGUGCAAGUUCUUAGUAGUCUUGUGCUGUCUGUGCCACAGUUCUGCAGAGAGGCGGCACAUACAGUGCCAUUAAGAUGAAGGCAAAUGCCUUAAUUUUCAUUCUUCUGCUCAUUACUGCAUAUGUAACACUGUUCAAGAAAAUGACUGUCAUGUCAUCUGAACAGUUCAGAACACCUGGGCAGCUCUUCCCAUUUCCAUGUUACUUCAGACUUUCCUGAGGUCACAUUCCUCUUUUCUGCUCGCUCACACUAAGAAACCCCGACAAACAGCUCUACCUCCUAUAGUCAGUUAUUCCGUAGGGAGAAGCCCUUCUGUACUUUCUUUUGCUGGUCUCUUUACUCUGUCUGCCACAGAACUGAUGUUUUAAGAUGUGCUUAGUAUAAUUCUGUAAUCAUCUUCUAUGGGUAGAAUUUGUUUUGGAAAUGUGGUUACUUUACGUUGGAAAUAAUUUUUGUAUGUGAAAUUAAUUUGCUUGGACUAGAAAUCACAGAUAUUUUACUAAGAUGAAACAGAACAGAAAUUGGAAGAAAAUAAUUGCAUCUCAGCACAUGCAGCAUAGUUUACUCAGCCAGGCUGGUUGUACUUGUGAGUGGACGGACACUUAGAAGGAGGUGGAAGCUCUGCAGCUCUGACAGAUGGCCCAGAAAACCUUAUUGUCAUAAUCAAAGCUAUGGUAAUGUACAUCAACAAAAAUGGAAUAAACAAAGGAAAUGUUCUGUUACAAAGAGCCAGCUUUGAUUUAUGCCGUAUCUGUGAAUAUCCUGUACAGUGCUUAUGUAGCUGUGUUACCGAGACCACCAGAAGUCUUUUUUUCUACCUAAACUUUGUAUGUAGUUGUAUCAUAAAUUAACUUUAAUUUGAUUGUGUACUGGAGGAGGAAUUUGUGUUUGUUUUUUUUUUUUUUUUAAACAGCAGUAUUAAAAAUACAUAGAGUUUAUAUAAUAGCAGUCAUUACUGGGACAGUGGAAUAAAUAGUUGCGGGUUGAUCCUGUGUUGCUUUUUAUUCUUCAUGUACAGUAUGUGUUUCAAAAGAAUAUUGGCGUCUGGUAGAUUCUAGUAAUGUCUAUUCCUUCUGUUCCUUUCUUUAUUCAGACACUUAAUCACUCUCAAUCUGUCAGGCUUCCCCUGCCUCAUUUCUGAUCUUUGCCUCAGCGAGCAGCUUUCUACCUCAGAGUCUUUUAGGACAGGGUUACACACACACCUACAGGACUCUCUCCUGCUGUGUCAUGAGGAUCAGACCCAACCCCAUGGCUGUGUGAACUCUUCAAACCGCAGAGGUAAGGUUCCUCAGCACAGCUGGAUCCACUCCUAGUCCCAGAUGUGUUCAGGAGUUUGUGUCUCAGGGAUCCUAUGUGCACAAAGAUACGACAUAUAAUCUGUAUAAUGGACUAUUUGCAUGUGAGGAGGCAGUUUAUAAUCAUGCAGAUGUUCAGCCACUGUUCUGUGGCAAAUGGUUGGACUGUGCAGUUUGUAGAUUGCCCUAAGGCAAUCUACAGAAAGUAUCUUGUCACCCCUGCCAUGUUCCUCUGCAAUUGGGAUGGUGGAAAAUGCACUAGCUACAUCAAUUACAGCAUACCCGCUUCUGGAAUGCUACUGAACCUCUUCUCUUAAAGCAAUGGUUACCUGCUACAGCCGCUGUGAGAGGUGGGGUGUGCUUAUUUAAUUCCCUCCACGACCCAUCACUUUUUGACAGGCCAUAUUGGAUUGUUCCAAGCUGCAGUAGUUGACUUAAAACUCCUGCAUCCAAUAAAUCAUUAAUUGUCCUUGAUAUCUCUUCAUGCCAACCCCCAGGGUGCUAUAUUGUUUCAUUGUCACUACUUCAGUUGCAGGAGGAAUCUGCGCAGCAGGCAUUUUUACUUUUCCCACUAAAAUUGUCAGAGCACUAAUGCAAUUCUUUAUUCCAAAUUGGUGCUGACCGCUGGGAAGAUUCAAGGUGAGUCCUUUUGGAAUACCUAUCCCUGUGAUGUUUUCUGGGACAAGGACAAUCAUGACAGGAUACAAUCACUUCAGGAGGUUUCCUGUUUUCAUUUGUAUUUGUGUUUUCACAGGUUGCAUUUGUUUCCCUCCCAACCCUAUUACUGAUUGUCCUUCAGAUUUCUUGGGGUUCCCAUAUACUAAGGAGGCCUCUGCUCCGGGGUCGUUUGAGGCUCUGCAGUUUGUGAGGACCAGGUUUUCCAAAAUAUCUCCUUCCAAGGAUACAAAUUGGAAUAUCGUUCCCAAUCGUUCUCCCCCAAAACAGCCAACCCACUUGCAUCGGGCGCUCUGCAAAUAGGUAAGACGUCCCAUUGAGUGCAGUAGGUGGAAUUGUUCCCGGGUCUUUUGCUUUAGAAUUUGGCACCUUCUUGCUAGGGUUUAUUUAACCCUCUGUGUUUAUGUGUCCUCUAUAAUUCAGGAAGUGGAAAACCAUCAGUCUUAUCAUGAGAAAUCUGGUCUCUUAAGAAAGCUGUAUUAAUUAUUUUCAAGAAAUCCUAUUUUCACUGCCUUUCUGCUCUUUCCUCUUGUCCAUUCUCCCCUGCCAUCUCCUUCUUUCCCCUGGAGGGCUGCCAGGAGAUUCUGUCAGCGGCCUGGAGUAGGGACAGGGGAGAGAAGGAGACAGAAGAGGGACAGGCAGAGACAGGGGCAGGAU